This is a long non-coding RNA of Pipra filicauda (Wire-tailed manakin), 277 nucleotides long. RefSeq lists it as uncharacterized. The transcript has 2 exons. Lineage: Eukaryota; Metazoa; Chordata; Aves; Passeriformes; Pipridae. The record is from RefSeq and is a predicted model, not a curated record.
GAGUAAAAGCCUGCUCAGGGCUGUAACUGAGCCAGGUCACAGCUUUUCUGGCCCCCAAGGCGCUGAGGGUUUCACUGCCACUUCUAUCGUGGAGAAAGCCUGUCAGAGAAAGAUGUCCUGUUGAAGGAGGAGAUCUGGAACACAAGAUUUAUGGACUACAAGGACCUUCUGCAGAAACCAGCAGCUAAAGAAGAAGACUAACAAAGGCUCAGCAUUUGUGUCAGAAAAUCCCUAGGGGAGGGAAAAUAUACAAAAAAGAUUAAAGAUAUGAAGUUAU